RNAcentral lists this long non-coding RNA (696 nucleotides) under Capra hircus (goat). RNAcentral's name for it is "lncRNA (ENSCHIG00010007527.1)". Lineage: Eukaryota; Metazoa; Chordata; Mammalia; Artiodactyla; Bovidae. The record is from RNAcentral.
GUUAUACAAAAUACCCCUUGCUCAUUAAUAAAUAAUAGUCCUCUAUUAUUUCUACUCAAUUCCAACGGAUUACCCUAAAAAUCAAAUGGCAAGUCAGUUUCAAGAAGUCUUGGUUUUCUGCUCAAUCACUCCAAGAUGCUAAGGCUUUUUGAAAUAGAUUAUAUGAAUAUUCAGGUCAGUCUGUUUUCUGCAGUGACUCAUAAUUGGGAUUCAGACAGGACCAGACUUGUCUGCUGAUGUGGUAUGGCAGGCCUGCCAGAAGGCUUGCUUUGUUUUGUUGGUUGAAAAGGAAAGAGGCAGGCGCCCAAGUCCCAAAGGGAAGCAGCUGUAGGGUAAAGGGUUAGAAUUUCAGCGGCAUUCCUUGGGCAGCCCCGUGGGUGUGGGGUUGAGUCGAUGGAGAGAACAGCUGCAGGCAGAAGCUGAAGGAACUGUUUUUAUAGGGGCCUCUGUGUGACACCCUGAGACAUGAGGAUGUGGGCAGUGCCACGAUUAUGCCCAGGAAAGAAAACCAUGUGGAUAGCUGAGAUCUUCUGUGAAGAAAGGAAAAGACAAAAGGCCGUAGAUCCAAAACUUAUAGAAAAUCAACGUUUAGAAUUUCAACUGUGGAGGAAGGACCAAAAAAAUGCAAGAAGCAGGUUCUGCUUCUGUGGAAACCCAACCUGCAAACCACUGAAAAGAGUGGAAUACCCUCUCUAA